UGCGAUCAGAGGGACAAAGACCAGGAGCAGCUCUCAGGGGGAGGUCAACAUGUUCAUGGUGACAGAUGUGGAACCAAGCUUGUGCCACUACAAAGAGCGGGUGUUUUUGUAGCCGUGUUGCCACUGCUGUGAUGGAUGGUGGAAAACACUGAUAGUCAAGGGAAGAACACUCAAUGUACGUCACAACAAUGUCAACAACACAUACUGUCGGUUGAUGGACAUAUAUCGAGACUAC
This is a long non-coding RNA of Corythoichthys intestinalis (scribbled pipefish), 235 nucleotides long. RefSeq lists it as uncharacterized. The record is from RefSeq and is a predicted model, not a curated record. The transcript has 3 exons. NCBI's taxonomy places the organism in Eukaryota, Metazoa, Chordata, Actinopteri, Syngnathiformes, Syngnathidae.